This 676-nucleotide ribosomal RNA is filed under the name uncultured bacterium. Its description in RNAcentral is "bacterial SSU rRNA". It matches the Rfam family "Bacterial small subunit ribosomal RNA", at positions 636 to 1312 of the family's 1533-position model. The record is from RNAcentral.
UCUGACUUGAGUGCAGAAGGGGAGAGUAGAAUUCCAUGNGUAGCGGUGAAAUGCGUAGAUAUAUGGAGGAACACCAGUGGCGAAAGCGGCUCUCUGNUCUGUCACUGACGCUGAGGCUCGAAAGCGUGGGUAGCGAACAGGAUUAGAUACCCUGGUAGUNCACGCCGUAAACGAUGAGUGCUAGGUGUUAGGCCCUUUCCGGGGCUUAGUGCCGGAGCUAACGCAAUAAGCACUCCGCCUGGGGAGUACGACCGCAAGGUUGAAACUCAAAGGAAUUGACGGGGGCCCGCACAAGCGGUGGAGCAUGUGGUUUAAUUCGAAGCAACGCGAAGAACCUUGCCAGGUCUUGACAUCCCGAUGCUAUUCUUAGAGAUAGGAAGUUACUUCGGUACAUCGGAGACAGGUGGUGCAUGGUUGUCGUCAGCUCGUGUCGUGAGAUGUUGGGUUAAGUCCCGCAACGAGCGCAACCCUUAUUGUUAGUUGCCAUCAUUAAGUUGGGCACUCUAGCGAGACUGCCGGUAAUAAACCGGAGGAAGGUGGGGAUGACGUCAAAUCAUCAUGCCCCUUAUGACCUGGGCUACACACGUGCUACAAUGGUCGGUACAACGAGUUGCGAGCCGGUGACGGCAAGCUAAUCUCUGAAAGCCGAUCUCAGUUCGGAUUGGAGGCUGCAACU